This 159-nucleotide ribosomal RNA is filed under the name Aesculus polyneura. Its description in RNAcentral is "5.8S ribosomal RNA". It matches the Rfam family "5.8S ribosomal RNA". Rfam says of the family: 5.8S ribosomal RNA (5.8S rRNA) is a component of the large subunit of the eukaryotic ribosome. Lineage: Eukaryota; Viridiplantae; Streptophyta; Magnoliopsida; Sapindales; Sapindaceae. The record is from RNAcentral.
GACUCUCGGCAACGGAUAUCUCGGCUCUCGCAUCGAUGAAGAACGUAGCGAAAUGCGAUACUUGGUGUGAAUUGCAGAAUCCCGUGAACCAUCGAGUCUUUGAACGCAAGUUGCGCCCCAAGCCGUUCGGCCGAGGGCACGUCUGCCUGGGUGUCACGC